RNAcentral lists this ribosomal RNA (445 nucleotides) under uncultured bacterium. RNAcentral describes it as "partial 16S ribosomal RNA". It matches the Rfam family "Bacterial small subunit ribosomal RNA", at positions 354 to 796 of the family's 1533-position model. The record is from RNAcentral.
GUGAGGAAUAUUGGUCAAUGGGCGAAAGCCUGAACCAGCCAUGUCGCGUGAAGGAUGAAGGUCCUAUGGAUUGUAAACUUCUUUUGCAGGAGGGUAAAGUGAGCUACGUGUAGUUCAUUGCAAGUACCCUGCGAAUAAGCAUCGGCUAACUCCGUGCCAGCAGCCGCGGUAAUACGGAGGAUGCGAGCGUUAUCCGGAUUUAUUGGGUUUAAAGGGUGCGUAGGCGGACUAAUUAGUCAGCGGUGAAAUUUCGCGGCUCAACCGUAAAACUGCCGUUGAAACUGUUAGUCUUGAGUGCGGUAGAGGUAGGCGGAAUGUGUGGUGUAGCGGUGAAAUGCUUAGAUAUUACAUGGAAUACCAAUUGCGAAGGCAGGUUACUACUUGUGGAUUGACGCUGAUGGACGAAAGCGUGGGGAGCGAACAGGAUUAGAUACCCCGGUAGUCC